UACAGAGGGGGCAAGCGUUGUUCGGAAUUACUGGGCGUAAAGGGCGCGUAGGCGGCCAACUAAGUCGGACGUGAAAUCCCCUGGCUCAACCAGGGAACUGCGUCCGAUACUGAUUGGCUUGAAUCCGGGAGAGGGAUGUGGAAUUCCAGGUGUAGCGGUGAAAUGCGUAGAUAUCUGGAGGAACACCGGUGGCGAAGGCGGCAUCCUGGACCGGUACUGACGCUGAGGCGCGAAAGCCAGGGGAGCAAACGGG
This 253-nucleotide ribosomal RNA is filed under the name uncultured bacterium. RNAcentral describes it as "partial 16S ribosomal RNA". It matches the Rfam family "Bacterial small subunit ribosomal RNA", at positions 524 to 776 of the family's 1533-position model. The record is from RNAcentral.